AGAGUUUGAUCAUGGCUCAGAUUGAACGCUGGCGGCAGGCCUAACACAUGCAAGUCGAGCGGUAGCACAGAGAGCUUGCUCUCGGGUGACGAGCGGCGGACGGGUGAGUAAUGUCUGGGAAGCUGCCUGAUGGAGGGGGAUAACUACUGGAAACGGUAGCUAAUACCGCAUAAUGUCGCAAGACCAAAGUGGGGGACCUUCGGGCCUCAUGCCAUCAGAUGUGCCCAGAUGGGAUUAGCUAGUAGGUGGGGUAAUGGCUCACCUAGGCGACGAUCCCUAGCUGGUCUGAGAGGAUGACCAGCCACACUGGAACUGAGACACGGUCCAGACUCCUACGGGAGGCAGCAGUGGGGAAUAUUGCACAAUGGGCGCAAGCCUGAUGCAGCCAUGCCGCGUGUGUGAAGAAGGCCUUCGGGUUGUAAAGCACUUUCAGCGGGGAGGAAGGCGUUAAGGUUAAUAACCUUGGCGAUUGACGUUACCCGCAGAAGAAGCACCGGCUAACUCCGUGCCAGCAGCCGCGGUAAUACGGAGGGUGCAAGCGUUAAUCGGAAUUACUGGGCGUAAAGCGCACGCAGGCGGUCUGUCAAGUCGGAUGUGAAAUCCCCGGGCUCAACCUGGGAACUGCAUUCGAAACUGGCAGGCUAGAGUCUUGUAGAGGGGGGUAGAAUUCCAGGUGUAGCGGUGAAAUGCGUAGAGAUCUGGAGGAAUACCGGUGGCGAAGGCGGCCCCCUGGACAAAGACUGACGCUCAGGUGCGAAAGCGUGGGGAGCAAACAGGAUUAGAUACCCUGGUAGUCCACGCCGUAAACGAUGUCGAUUUGGAGGUUGUGCCCUUGAGGCGUGGCUUCCGGAGCUAACGCGUUAAAUCGACCGCCUGGGGAGUACGGCCGCAAGGUUAAAACUCAAAUGAAUUGACGGGGGCCCGCACAAGCGGUGGAGCAUGUGGUUUAAUUCGAUGCAACGCGAAGAACCUUACCUGGUCUUGACAUCCACAGAACUUAGCAGAGAUGCUUUGGUGCCUUCGGGAACUGUGAGACAGGUGCUGCAUGGCUGUCGUCAGCUCGUGUUGUGAAAUGUUGGGUUAAGUCCCGCAACGAGCGCAACCCUUAUCCUUUGUUGCCAGCGGUUCGGCCGGGAACUCAAAGGAGACUGCCAGUGAUAAACUGGAGGAAGGUGGGGAUGACGUCAAGUCAUCAUGGCCCUUACGACCAGGGCUACACACGUGCUACAAUGGCAUAUACAAAGAGAAGCGACCUCGCGAGAGCAAGCGGACCUCAUAAAGUAUGUCGUAGUCCGGAUUGGAGUCUGCAACUCGACUCCAUGAAGUCGGAAUCGCUAGUAAUCGUAGAUCAGAAUGCUACGGUGAAUACGUUCCCGGGCCUUGUACACACCGCCCGUCACACCAUGGGAGUGGGUUGCAAAAGAAGUAGGUAGCUUAACCUUCGGGAGGGCGCUUACCACUUUGUGAUUCAUGACUGGGGUGAAGUCGUAACAAGGUAACCGUAGGGGAACCUGCGGUUGGAUCACCU
RNAcentral lists this ribosomal RNA (1528 nucleotides) under Klebsiella pneumoniae. Its description in RNAcentral is "bacterial SSU rRNA". It matches the Rfam family "Bacterial small subunit ribosomal RNA". The record is from RNAcentral. Lineage: Bacteria; Pseudomonadati; Pseudomonadota; Gammaproteobacteria; Enterobacterales; Enterobacteriaceae.